CUACGGGGCGCUGCAGUGGGGAAUAUUGCACAAUGGGCGCAAGCCUGAUGCAGCAACGCCGCGUGAGUGAAGAAGGCCUUCGGGUCGUAAAACUCUGUCCUAAGGGAAGAAUAAUGACGGUACCUUAGGAGGAAGCCCCGGCUAACUACGUGCCAGCAGCCGCGGUAAUACGUAGGGGGCAAGCGUUAUCCGGAAUCACUGGGCGUAAAGGGUGCGUAGGCGGCCUGUCAAGUCAGAAGUGAAAGGCUAUGGCUCAACCAUAGUAAGCUUUUGAAACUGAUGGGCUUGAAUACAGGAGAGGUAAGUGGAAUUCCUAGUGUAGCGGUGAAAUGCGUAGAGAUUAGGAGGAACACCAGUGGCGAAGGCGACUUACUGGACUGUUAUUGACGCUGAGGCACGAAAGCGUGGGGAGCGAACAGGAUUAGAUACCCUAGUAGUC
Molecule: ribosomal RNA, 439 nt
Filed under: uncultured bacterium
Lineage: Bacteria
Description: partial 16S ribosomal RNA
Rfam family: Bacterial small subunit ribosomal RNA
Source: RNAcentral